Molecule: ribosomal RNA, 475 nt
Filed under: uncultured bacterium
Lineage: Bacteria
Description: partial 16S ribosomal RNA
Rfam family: Bacterial small subunit ribosomal RNA (bases 83-475)
Source: RNAcentral
GUAAAACGACCGGCCAGUGAAUUGUAAUACGACUCACUAUAGGGCGAAUUGGGCCCUCUAGAUGCAUGCUCGAGCGGCCGCCAGUGUGAUGGAUAUCUGCAGAAUUCGCCCUUCAGGCCUAACACAUGCAAGUCGAACGCCCUCUUCGGAGGGAGUGGCAGACGGGUGAGUAACACGUGGGAACGUGCCCGAAGGUACGGAACAACUCCGGGAAACUGGAGCUAAUACCGUAUGUGUCCGCAAGGAGAAAGAUUUAUCGCCUUCGGAUCGGCCCGCGUCAGAUUAGCUAGUUGGUGGGGUAAAAGCCUACCAAGGCGACGAUCUGUAGCUGUUCUUAGAGGAAGACCAGCCACACUGGGACUGAGACACGGCCCAGACUCCUACGGGAGGCAGCAGUGGGGAAUCUUGGACAAUGGGCGCAAGCCUGAUCCAGCCAUGCCGCGUGGAUGACGAAGGCCUUAGGGUUGUAAAAUCC